CGUGGUUCGACCGCGAUAUAUGUAACUGAAACAAAACCAACAAGGAAGGCGUACAGUGUGUCUAUUUAGGGCAAAGACUGCAAAUGAAAAUUCAUGUUAGUGCCUUUGGAGAAAGCUGAGGUAGAGCCAGAACACAGGGGACAGAUGAGAUUCAAAUCCCGCACCACUCUAUCAGACAGUGUAAAAUGAGAUUUGGCACUAUAUCUAACACAGAAUGAGUUAUGAGUUGGAGAACUAUUAUAGCUAGAUUCUAAUUGAAGGUGUCCAAGAGCAGGUUUUUUUCCCCUCUCUCUCUGUCCUCGUAGCAGCGAUGGAAAACGGGUAAUAUCUUUUACUGGGCUAGCAUUGUGAAUGUCACAGUCUCAAGGUAAAGGAGGCUCCAGCUUUACUUUGGUUUGUCAGAGUUUGCAUGCUGUAGUAACUACAGUCCUUGAGUGCAGCAGAGAAUGUUUCGGGACGUGAGCACAAAAGUUGAAGAUAUGCGCGAGAUAAAAGCCUCAGCUAGCUGAGGGAAUGUUUUGCCUCUGGCUAUACACGGUCUCAGAUGGAUGAUUAAUUGUUUAUUGCCACCUUAUGAAGCUGAAGAGUCAUGGGCAAACAGUUUUUUUUUCCUUGUUUUUUUUUUAAACGAACUGCACCAGCCUCCUUUAGCAGUAAAUGCUUUAUAACCAUACCUGGCCAACUUUCCAUGAAUUCCUAUGUCCAAAUUCCGUGCAGGUGCCCGUUUGAGUUGACGAUUAAUAGCUGCAAUUUACAGCAAAUGGGCUUUUGCACAAUAUGUUUAGCGGGGCUAGAUAAAAUGGGUCCCUGGCCACUGAUCUGGAGACAGAUUAGGUUUUUAGUCGGCUAUGAUUAAGGCAUGAAUAGGGAAUGGGAGAUCAGACUUUGGACCUGCAGUGUUUAAUGCUGCCCACCUGUUAUAAAUGAGCAGUUAAAUGAGUCAAGCAUUGGUGGUCCCAGGCCAAUUCAAGGGCAUGAGGCAGCUACACACAAACUCUCAGCUCUCCACCUCUUUCUUAUCUAGCGACCGUACAGCUUUUCAGGUUUCCCCACACUCUCGUCGCUGCGAGUGCGUGCAAGGUGCUGCUGCACGCACUGCAGGUCGCCGGGCCGGCGGAUGGUCCACGGCUUCCUUCUGUGUGGCAAGGCAGUCCAAAAGAGAAUCUCAAAAAGGACAUUUAUCACUGUGGGGAAAUGAACAGAUCUGCUCUACUGCAUGUACAACCAGACUGACUGGGCUGAAUCUGUAGCAAGUGGCCAUCCUGCGCCCUGCCUCCUGCAUGCGCUACUCAGGCGUCUCCCUCAACAAGAACGGAGGUAAGAAAAGAUUUCCUUGAACAUGUUUUGGAGUUCAGUUGUGUUAGAGGAGAAGGAAAAUCAGCAGUAGAUUCAAUUCGUGAACUAUAUAUAGCUGACUGGUCUGUAAGGGUCAGAUUACUUGUGUGGCAACUCUUGACCGAUUAACUACAUUUGACCAAAUAGAGGUCUUGUCACAUGGUUUUAGUUGGGAUUUCAAAAUCAUUUUUCAAAUAUUUCCACAGUCUUAAAUUUAAGUGCGUUGCUGGAGCAACCAAGACUGCAUACAUAAUGGACUAAUGUUUCACACCUCUUUUAUGACUGCCUGACAUGUCACAUCCAAAAAGAUCUCUUUUGUGAAAGAAAACACCGUUGUUAAUAUUGGAUCUCCCUCCCUCUAGACUUUCCUUAUCACAGACAAAAUGUGCUGCAAGACUGACAUGUCAUGGUGCUGUUUGUCAGACAGCCCUCAGACGGAAUAUUUUUCCCCCCCGAUCAAAUUGGAAUGAACUAUAUUUUCAGGCUAUUUGUUGUCACAAAUUCACCCAUUCCUCAUAUGGAUGUGAUAUGUGCCUUGUCCCAGCUGUCAAAGGCUCAGUGGUGGCAGAAUGUAUUCAUGUCUUAAAUGAAUGAUAAAGUACGCUGCAACAGCUCAAAACCGAUGCCAUUUGGAAAAUAAAAUGGUUUCAAUACUUAAAGAACUGUGGCCGUUGAGCAAUACUCCUCUAAAGCUUGUGACAAACUGCAGUGAUGCACGCUCCAUUAGAUAAUCUUUGACUCAAUUUGUUUCUAAAUUUAUGUUUCUAGUCGUUUCAGUGAGUCGAAAGGAAGGAAAAUGUUCCCUUGAAUUGGAUUUUUACAGCAGAAAAAUUAUGGGAUGCUAAUCUAAAAAUCUUA
Molecule: long non-coding RNA, 2193 nt
Organism: Oreochromis niloticus (Nile tilapia)
Lineage: Eukaryota; Metazoa; Chordata; Actinopteri; Cichliformes; Cichlidae
Source: Ensembl